This 1596-nucleotide long non-coding RNA is filed under the name Panax ginseng (ginseng). Its description in RNAcentral is "long non-coding RNA (PGIN_LNC011238)". The record is from RNAcentral. Lineage: Eukaryota; Viridiplantae; Streptophyta; Magnoliopsida; Apiales; Araliaceae.
AUCAGUUGGAUUUCCUGCAAGGUGCAAUGUCCUUUGACAGUAUAUGGGAGGAGCUCCAACAAAGUGAAUCCACUUCAGAAGAGAAAAUCUAUGUUGUAAGUUGGAAUGACCAUUUCUUUGUUCUCAAAAUAGAAAAGGAUGCAAUAUACAUAAUUGACACACUAGGAGAGAGGCUAUCAGAAGGAUGCAAUAAAGCAUACAUACUAAAGUUCAACAGAGAAAGUACGGUCUAUAGAGUGCAAUCAAAGUCGAGCAACUCAAAGAUGGCUUCAGAAGAUGAACAAGAUACUGAAUUAUGCAAUUCAGGGAAAAAUGACAAGAGAGACGGCCAUGAACUAAUAUGUAAAGGCAAGCUAUGCAGCAAAGAAUUCAUUAAAGGAUUCCUUGCUGCACUCCCACUUCAAGAACUGCAGUGUAACAUCGAAAAGGGAAUAGCUGACAAAGCUCCACUCCAUCGUCUCCUGCAAAUUGAGUUCCAAUACAUGACUCCAUGCCAUAAGCGCUCACCAAGCAUAGAAAUAAGGUCCUAAUGGAUCAACCCUGAAGUAGUAGUGGACAAUAACAAGCCUUGCAGUGAAAGAGGGCCAAAAGUUCACAAAAAUUAUGGUAUUUCAUCCAGUAAUAAUGUUCACCAUUACCCACCGUGUAAUACAAUUAUACAAAAACUUGUUUCUCAUACUGCCAUUAAGGCAUUAGUCAUGCAUUAUUCUUCUAACAUUUUAAAAGUUCUGUAACGAAACCAUUGUGACAAUGGUUUUUUGUUCUUCAUGCAAUCCACAGCUGAAACAAAACCAAAUAUUUUGUGGAGUUUCAAAUUCUUCUGUCCUCAAUAGAAAAAAUAGCAAAAUAAAUUUGAAAAGAGAAGACAACCAGCAUAUAUGCUACAGCUGCUUCAAGAUUCCUCAAGAAACAGGUGUCGGUGAAACUAGAGCAGCUUACAACAUAACUUUAAUUUCAGUGCAUAAGCUUUCCCAGGAGGCACGGGAUAAUCUAAUUAACUUCAAUCUUCAUGAAAAAAAAGGAGUAGAAUAAAGGGCUUUAAACUAAUUAGAAGUAUACUUAUCAAGUCGUCGCCUAGGCGACACUUAGGCGUCCAGUCGGUGCAUUUUGGGAAGGCGUCUAGGCGACUUGGUGAAGGGGAGAAAGUCGAGCUCUCAGAUGUCGAAGGUGACGACUUGGACAACUUUGUGGCGACUCGGACGACUAGAUUGCUAAGCAGUCGACUUGGACAGGGUUUGACCCGAAGCUUAACUCGAUUAAAAAAAAUAAGUUCGAUCAGUCUAAAACCUAAUCGAUCGAUCAGUCGCAAACUUACAAUAACCCAAUAACAAAGGGAGAAAGGGGAGAGAGGCAGAGAGCAAGAACAAGAGCAAAACAGCAGCAUGGAGGGGACUCACCGACGACGACUCCGGCAGCUCGCGACUUCGGCCUCCACUCCGGCAUGUUGCUUCUUCUUCUAUUCUUCUUCUCUCCUAACUUCUCUUCUUCGUCGUCUUCUUCGUCGUGACUUCAAACUCUGUUGGCUAGACUUCUUCGGACUCUGUUGGCUAGACUUUAAAAUUUUAGUAAUGUUAUACGUGCCUCUAGAUAAAGUGC